UGAGCACUGCCAUAGCCUCUUUUUAUAGUAGUGAGAAGAAAAAGAACUCAUCUGAAUGAAGAUGGUCACGAUCUCUCUCUAUCGUCUCCCAAUGCUCUGCUGCUCAAUCUUGUCCAGAUAAGCAUCAAAGAGCAUCCCCUCAAUCGCGCGAUGGACAGUCUUCCAAUCCUUGAUGGUGGUAUCCAUGAAAAAUGAGGAUGGGCCCUCUCUCAACCCAACAGGUACUUCGACGGAGUUCGGACUUGAUUGUUUAGUCCGAACAGAAGUCCCCUUGGCUCGAGGGGCAAGGAGAGCUGCUGGCAUCGAGGGACGAGAUUGGAUCGGGGGAGCCGAUAUGACUCCCACUUGAGUGGAAGCCAAAGGGAGCGCCUCUCUCUGAAUGGCUUUGGAGGGCCUCUGCUUCUUCUGGGCUUCGAUGGCAGCUGGUAAGGACACGUUCCUCUUCUUUUGUACAUUCUUCCUCCUCAACCUUCAAGUUCUUCGGGCCUCAUAUCUGCAUCAAGUCAGAAUAAGUUAAAAAGAAAGAGUGGGAGAAGGAGAAAGUGAACUUCAAAAGCUACUAAACAAAUCUUUGGGGUCAGUCGAACUGAGACU
RNAcentral lists this long non-coding RNA (594 nucleotides) under Elaeis guineensis (African oil palm). RNAcentral's name for it is "long non-coding RNA (EGUI_LNC008305)". The record is from RNAcentral. Lineage: Eukaryota; Viridiplantae; Streptophyta; Magnoliopsida; Arecales; Arecaceae.